CUUAAUGAAAAAAGAGAAGACAAAUUUCUUACUCACCAGUUUAGUUUAAAGAGAAAAAAAAAAUCUGCCUAGACCUUAAAUCCCACAUAGGGCAUCGACUUCUCUAUAUGAAUAACAAAUCUGCAAAAUUAUAAAAUCACAUCCUAUAAGUGAUUUUUUUUAGGCCAAUGAGUAAAAAAGGAGAUAACUGUGUAAUACAGCAAAUCAAGAACUAUUCUGUACCUGAGACAAGCUACUGCUUAUUUCUAUUUCCAUUAUUUCUUCCCUUGUAACCAUUUCUGCAAGUACUAUAAAUGAUAAUGGCUUUAAUUAAAUACUUUAAAAGUCAAACCGCCUCCCAAUUUUGCUCAUUUUAAAGAUGGAAUAUAAUUAGAUUUGACUUAAAUACAUACUUUUCUUAAUUUUAUUCAUCUUAUUUACAAUUCUGCUUUUGAAACCUUCUGCUUUUUGAAAUGUUCUUCUCAUUUUUUGUUAGGUGAUUCACAGAGACAAAGGAGAAUUCUACCCCAGUUACUUGGAGGCAUCUUUUGUGAAACUUUGAUCACCCUGAAUGGUUGGAAGGACAGAGCAGGCAAACUUAUUAAAGAGGUUAGUGAUGAUGAUUUAAAGGGUUCUGGAGUGAGAAAUGUAUGAAAGACACUUAGCAUAGAGUUCAGCAUGGGAUCAGCACUGAAAUAAAUGAUUCCUACUGUCACGGUUGCAUUUCUGACGAUCAGGUUGUUCAUAAUCACACUUUUGACAGAGCUAUUGUAUUAGACAUAAAGGUCUGAAAAAGGUCAAUGAAAUGUUUUACCAGUUGUCUCUUUAUAACCUCCCACCCUUUUUGGGAAUUAAAACCUGUAUUCCUGCCAGGGAUCAAUAAUCAAAGGGGGAGAAAAAUGUUCUUUACUGUUUGUUUUCUAAUAUCUUAAACAACAGGAGAGGGCUCAAUGGAAUUGUCCUGACAAGAAUCACUGGCAGAGACACCGUCAAAGCGCGGCCGGGAGCGGAGGCGGAGAUCCCGGGGCACAGCCGCUAGGCCUCUAUCUGCCUCCAGUGACUACCGAGACGCUUCUCCCUCUGCUUCGGGCGUGUCCCGGGCAGGGGCGCUCUCAGGGGGCCGGGGGUACUACUCUGGAAAACCCACGCUCUGAUCCGAAGAGCCCAGCCUGCAGUCGUCCCGCACACUGCGCAGGCGCGCCCCGGCGGCUGCCAUACCCAGCGUCCUCUCUGGCCGGAAGUCGGCCCAGCGCGUCUUCCGGGCAUCCCUGGCGAAAUCACCACACUUCCUCUGCCUGCGUAUACCGAAACAACUCACCAUUCUAGAAAAGGAGACACUGAAUCAAUGGCAGGAAGAUCCUGCUGUGUGAAUUGGAAGACUUGAACAAAGUGAAUAUGACUUCAUGAAUACUGAUUUAUUGCUCAACACAAUGGUGUCUUAAUUGAAGAGCCACCUGUCUAGCAGCAGAAGAAUUUUGUUAUUAGGUUUACUAUUUUUUUUAAAUAAACAAGAACAUGUAAUUUUUUUAAUGUGGAAAUUUACACUACUCCUUCCUUAGAAAACAGACUUGUUUCAUUUUUUGUUAAUUUGUAAAAUAUAUGAAUAUUGUUAUUUUUCGUUUCAUCAAACCAUAAUUUUGAAAGAAACAUGUCCAUUAUUCAUAACUAAAUCCUUAAUAAAAAACCUAGAAUUCCACAAGAACCAAAGAAUUGGCAAGUAUAUGUGAAAACUAGUCUGGAAAAAUUUUGUUUGAUUUAUAAGAAGCCUCUUGUCUCUACAUUUAAAUUUAUCCAUGUGCCCCUAUAGUCAUCUGUCAGACUGGGAGAAUUUCCAGAUAAUCAAAAUGUCACAGAGUUAGUACUUUUAAUUUUUAUUUCAUCUCCUGCAAGUAUGAACUCUGAUUGUAAUUACUGCUUCAUCUGUUCUUGAAUGAUUUUGUUUUAUCAGACAAAGACAGUGCUUUGACGACCACACUGAUGGAGAAUAAGGAAACUGCUUAAGAUGGGUAACAAUAAGAAUGCUAUGUUUUGGGAAACAGCAAACUACCUGAAACUAUAGCUUAUACAACAUGCAUCCUAAAGUCAUAAUUAAGAGUUGAAUAUUUAGCAUCCACAUCUUACCUUGACACCAGAGUCAUAUGUUUUUUUUUUUUCUGGUUAAAAUAU
This is a non-coding RNA of Microcebus murinus (gray mouse lemur), 2145 nucleotides long. The record is from RefSeq and is a predicted model, not a curated record. NCBI's taxonomy places the organism in Eukaryota, Metazoa, Chordata, Mammalia, Primates, Cheirogaleidae.